RNAcentral lists this ribosomal RNA (253 nucleotides) under uncultured bacterium. RNAcentral describes it as "partial 16S ribosomal RNA". It matches the Rfam family "Bacterial small subunit ribosomal RNA", at positions 524 to 776 of the family's 1533-position model. The record is from RNAcentral.
UACGUAGGGGGCAAGCGUUGUUCGGAAUUACUGGGCGUAAAGGGCGCGUAGGCGGCCUGUUAAGUCGAACGUGAAAUCCCCGGGCUCAACCCGGGAACUGCGUCCGAUACUGGCAGGCUUGAAUCCGGGAGAGGGAUGCGGAAUUCCAGGUGUAGCGGUGAAAUGCGUAGAUAUCUGGAGGAACACCGGUGGCGAAGGCGGCAUCCUGGACCGGCAUUGACGCUGAGGCGCGAAAGCCAGGGGAGCAAACAGG